CAAGCUGUUAUAUUCAUAGGGUCGGACGUGCUGGGCGAGCAAAUAAGAUUGGGAGCAGUUUAUUGUUUUUGACGGAGAAAGAAGAUGCUUACAUUGAAUUUCUGAAGCUCAAGAAAGUGCC
This 121-nucleotide non-coding RNA is filed under the name Leptocylindrus danicus. Lineage: Eukaryota; Bacillariophyta; Leptocylindrophyceae; Leptocylindrales; Leptocylindraceae. The record is from RNAcentral.